UUGUGAUAAAAAUUCAGACAGUUAAUAUAUUUUAAUAUUUUUAUCAGUCAGAUGUGCAGUUUUUCACUCCCGUCCACUGACCACAACAUGGAAAUACACGUGUUGGCACUAGCUCUUUUGUCGACGUACUCAAUUCUGAUUACCAUUCUUUGCAUUGUUUUAGCAAUUCAAAGACACCACAGAAAUUUAAUAAACCAAGGAGACAACUUGAAAACUUUACAUAAAGAAAACCUUCUUAACGUCUUGUCUAACCUACUGACGAAAGUCUACACGUGUGAACAAACAACUCAGCACUCCUUAGACAACCCUCGAGAUUUUUUUUUUCGAAAACUUUCCAAAAUCCUUGAUGACAGUGAAUUAUAUAACUGUGCAGGGGGAAGAAAUUGUCGGUAUGAGGAAAAAGACACAGAUCCAUUUAUUUAUUCAAGCGAAUACGCAACUGUGGUAAUGAAAAAUGAAACACGAAUUUCUUUUGGAACUACAGAUCAUUUAGAGUUUUUUCAAUUGUGUGAGAAUGGGACCACCAGUUCUGAAUCUAACACUAGUGCGUACCUAGAACCCAAGCAGUUCUCCCCAAAACCUGAUUGUCCACCAAAUCUUCGAAACUUAUGUUACACCGACAAGCGAUUUUUUAGUUUGUAGUGUGCUGGGAUCACAGUUCUUGGCCAAAAUUUAAAUAUUUCCUGCGUUUCAGAAUCAGUUUCAAUUUCGUCGGAAAGUUUGGCUUGUCACAGCGUAAACAUACUUGGAACUACAUACUUACUAACAUAAUCAACAUUGUUAUCUAAUUCAUAUCAAAGAUCUUUCCUUAUAUUUUAUUUAUUUUAAGAAAAAAAUAAACUUGCGAUAAGAAUUCAAAUAUAUUCAGGAUCGUUGUCAGUCAAGGGUACAGUUUUCCACUUCUUUCCACUGACCAAAAUAUGGAAAUACAUGCGUUGGCACUAGAUUUUUUGUCAGCGUACGCAAUUCUGAUGACAGUUGUCUGCAUUAUUCUAGCAAUUCAAAGAAACUACAGAAAUGUAUGCCGUUUUUCAACAAACCAAGAAGACAAGUGUACAACUUUGGAUAAAGAAAGCCUUCGUAACGUCUUGUCUGAUCGACUGACGACAGUAUAUGAACAGACAGCUAAGGAAAAGUCCUUAAACAACCCUCGAGACUUCUUCCUCGAGCAUCUUUCCAGAGUAGUUGAUAACAGUGUGCUGGAGGGAAAAAGCGCCAACACGAGGAAAAAAAAGCACAGAUGGAUUUAAAACCUGAUGAAGACGAGUAUAUGAAAAUGAAAACAAAGUCCUUGAGAAGUCAAUAAGAUUUUCUUUUGGGUCGAGGGGUCACUUAAAGUUUUUUCGUUUCUAUGAGAAUGGAACUACCUAUUCUGAAUCUAACACUAGGUACUACACUAGAA
This is a long non-coding RNA of Zophobas morio, 1402 nucleotides long. RefSeq lists it as uncharacterized. The transcript is spliced from 3 exons. The record is from RefSeq and is a predicted model, not a curated record. NCBI's taxonomy places the organism in Eukaryota, Metazoa, Arthropoda, Insecta, Coleoptera, Tenebrionidae.